AUUGAACGCUGGCGGCAUGGCUAAUGCAUGCAAGUCGAACGAAAGCCCUUCGGGGCGAAAGUGGCGAAAGGGCGAGUAAUACGAUCGAACGUACCCCAAGGUGGAGGAUAGUGUCGGGAAACUGACGGUAAUACUCCAUGUGCUCUUCGGAGGAAAGCUUUGGCGCCUCGGGAGCGGCGAUCGUCCUAUCAGGUAGUUGGUGAGGUAAUGGCUCACCAAGCCGAAGACGGGGUAGCGGGUGUGAGAGCAUGACCCGCCGCAUCGGGACUGAGACACUGCCCGGACUCCUACGGGAGGCUGCAGCGACGAUCUUCCGCAAUGGGCGCAAGCCUGACGGAGCAAUGCCGCGUGUGGGACGAAGCGUCUUCGACGUGUAAACCACUGUCAGAAUCUAGGAACACUGACCAGAUUCAAAGGAAGGGCCGGCUAACCUCGUG
This 437-nucleotide ribosomal RNA is filed under the name uncultured bacterium. RNAcentral describes it as "bacterial SSU rRNA". It matches the Rfam family "Bacterial small subunit ribosomal RNA", at positions 30 to 507 of the family's 1533-position model. The record is from RNAcentral.